This 465-nucleotide ribosomal RNA is filed under the name uncultured Klebsiella sp. RNAcentral describes it as "bacterial SSU rRNA". It matches the Rfam family "Bacterial small subunit ribosomal RNA", at positions 338 to 795 of the family's 1533-position model. The record is from RNAcentral. Lineage: Bacteria; Pseudomonadati; Pseudomonadota; Gammaproteobacteria; Enterobacterales; Enterobacteriaceae.
CCUACGGGUGGCAGCAGUGGGGAAUAUUGCACAAUGGGCGCAAGCCUGAUGCAGCCAUGCCGCGUGUGUGAAGAAGGCCUUCGGGUUGUAAAGCACUUUCAGCGGGGAGGAAGGCGGUGAGGUUAAUAACCUCAUCGAUUGACGUUACCCGCAGAAGAAGCACCGGCUAACUCCGUGCCAGCAGCCGCGGUAAUACGGAGGGUGCAAGCGUUAAUCGGAAUUACUGGGCGUAAAGCGCACGCAGGCGGUCUGUCAAGUCGGAUGUGAAAUCCCCGGGCUCAACCUGGGAACUGCAUUCGAAACUGGCAGGCGAGAGUCUUGUAGAGGGGGGUAGAAUGCCAGGUGUAGCGGUGAAAUGCGUAGAGAUCUGGAGGAAUACCGGUGGCGAAGGCGGCCCCCUGGACAAAGACUGACGCUCAGGUGCGAAAGCGUGGGGAGCAAACAGGAUUAGAUACCCGAGUAGUC